Molecule: long non-coding RNA, 1143 nt
Organism: Siniperca chuatsi (mandarin fish)
Lineage: Eukaryota; Metazoa; Chordata; Actinopteri; Centrarchiformes; Sinipercidae
Exons: 3
Source: RefSeq, a predicted model, not a curated record
GAAAAAGUCAGUCACUCACAAAGAGGAAGGAAGAGAGCUCGACUGGACUGAGUGAACAAGUGCUCACCAAGGGCUGCAAUGGGACAGACGUCUUUUCUGCUCUUGCUGAUCUCACUGCUGUGCUGCAGGACCGAAGGAGAAACUUAAAGGAACAAGAUUUCUGCCAUCAACAUAACAACCAGCACAAAAACAGACUUCAGUGAAACUACCAGAAACAAACAGUGGAGUGAAAAGACCGGAACAAACAUCUAAAAACAGGGACUCAAGCUGACAUCAAGUCUCGAAAGUCGAAGCUCGAUCAGAUCUGACCUUCAUGGUCUAAAAGCUUCAUGUAUGCAUAGUGUGUGUUUGAACUAACAUUUUAUAACUGGAAUUAGUCACGUCCCAUUUGUUAGUUACAAACGAUUCAAGAAUCCAAUUUUCCUUUUCAUUGAAUGUUUAAAAAUAUAAACAAUUACAAUGAAAACUGUAAGACUUUUCAGCUGAUUUCAAACAUGCCUGACCCCCCCAGCAAAAUUAAUUUUCAAGUAAAAAGAAAAUAAAUGAGACUAAUUCAACAGUUCAUUGUGAGUAGUGACCACUGUUGAUUGAUGAGGAGGCGUGAGUUGUGGUGCAUUUCUGCUUCAGAUUCAGAUUGUUUUAUCAUGUGACUCAGAUUUAAAGUAUAACUCGUACGCUGCUGUAAGAAAAACACACAAGGAACCAUUUAGAGCCAACUUAAAUUAAACAUACAUGGCAGCCAAACAUCGGUUUAACAAGACAAUCACAAAGAAAAAAUGUUGAAUGUCCCUGAAUUCUGUCCAACAAUAUAAUAAAUGAUGACUCGAUGGAAUUUCCAUUUAUUUAUUUUGAAACCACGCUGGGAAAACAUUUUUUCCACCUAAUGUUUUUAUUUUUGUAUUGUUGUAUUAUAUUGUAUGUCGUUAUUCUUUUUCAUAAUUUCUGUCACUUCUGAGGACAAUUUACUCAAAAGCCUUAGCUUGUAGUCUCUGUCAGCAUCACACUCUUCAGUAAUGGCACAGAAGUGUUUCUGGAGCUAAAGCUCUUCAGCAGCACUUCAGUUCAGAAAGCUUUGCUCAACAAACACAGAAGGUUUGUUAAACACAGUGAGGGAUGUCAAGCUUUUACUGUGACGCCCUCUGG